RNAcentral lists this ribosomal RNA (490 nucleotides) under uncultured bacterium. RNAcentral's name for it is "partial 16S ribosomal RNA". It matches the Rfam family "Bacterial small subunit ribosomal RNA", at positions 30 to 507 of the family's 1533-position model. The record is from RNAcentral.
AUUGAACGCUGGCGGCAGGCCUAACACAUGCAAGUCGAACGGUAACAGGAAGAAGCUUGCUUCUUUGCUGACGAGUGGCGGACGGGUGAGUAAUGUCUGGGAAACUGCCUGAUGGAGGGGGAUAACUACUGGAAACGGUAGCUAAUACCGCAUAACGUCGCAAGACCAAAGAGGGGGACCUUCGGGCCUCUUGCCAUCGGAUGUGCCCAGAUGGGAUUAGCUAGUAGGUGGGGUAACGGCUCACCUAGGCGACGAUCCCUAGCUGGUCUGAGAGGAUGACCAGCCACACUGGAACUGAGACACGGUCCAGACUCCUACGGGAGGCAGCAGCGGGGAAUAUUGCACAAUGGGCGCAAGCCUGAUGCAGCCAUGCCGCGUGUAUGAAGAAGGCCUUCGGGUUGUAAAGUACUUUCAGCGGGGAGGAAGGGAGUAAAGUUAAUACCUUUGCUCAUUGACGUUACCCGCAGAAGAAGCACCGGCUAACUCCGUG